RNAcentral lists this long non-coding RNA (1030 nucleotides) under Citrus x clementina. Its description in RNAcentral is "Citrus clementina (C. clementina) long non-coding RNA (CCLE_LNC005759)". Lineage: Eukaryota; Viridiplantae; Streptophyta; Magnoliopsida; Sapindales; Rutaceae. The record is from RNAcentral.
AGGGUAAUUUGGAAAAUAUGAAAAAAUUAGAGGGAUACAAAAGUAAACAUAUAUUCCAUUCUUAUUCCUUUAUUUUCAUUCCCAACUCUCCCAUGAGAAUGAGAUUCUCAUUCUUUAUUCUCAAAUUGUGUGGGAUCCAUACAUUUUAUUUUCAUUCACAAAUUAUAUUUUGCCAACACAUUAAUUUCACGAAGUAAACACACCGUAAGUGUACGUUGAAAUAUUACUCAAAACAAGAGCCAUUAUUGCAUCCAAGUGUUACUUUACUAAGAGGUAAUACCGUUGUCCCCAUUCUGCAAAGCCACUUGGUGGAUUGUCAAUGUCACACCAAUCAAGUAAGUUGUGUGAAAAUUGCCAUAUGACUAAAGAACUGUCACUUCUUUAACAAGUGGGAUUGCAGCAUUUUUCAAACCAGACAAUUUGCUAAAUAAUUUGCUUCUGCAAGUAGAAAUAAUAGUGCAUGAUCAUCUAAAAGAAAGUAUUUGCCAAGCCCAGAAACUAAUUGGAUGCUUUUUUCGUAGACAAUCACAACUAUCUGCAAGUUGCGUUCUGGAUUGGUUAAUGGUUAUUGAAUGAACGUCGAAGACUCAACAUCAGCCUGUCAUGGUGCUUAACUAAUGGCAAAGCGACCCCAUUCCCUAAUCCUGCGGAAUUUUUUGUAAGUUGCAAUGAUAAUCAUCUAUUCUAUUUGUGAAGCCAAGCGACAACUUAUAGCAAGUUGCAUAAAUGGACACCAAAAAGCAUCAUGCAAAAACACAUACAUAAUGCUAUUAUUAUAAAGUACGUGCUACCUAGUUAAAAUCAAAUUGUGAUAAGAAAUGCUUUUAACUAUAAUAGUUCCAAUCUAGAUUGAUCAGCUUCGAUUAUAAUAGCAACAGCUUUCUCCUUGCAUCUGCUCAAUCAGAUAUUCUAGGUGAAAGGAGAUUGGAUUGAUGAAAAGUGGGGAUUGAAUUUGGACAUUUCAAUUGCACUUGUAAUUUAUACUGUGAAAAAUAAAGAAAAAACAAAUGAAAAUCCCAUCUCAAUUCUA